UACGAAGGGGGGCUAGCGUUGCUCGGAAUCACUGGGCGUAAAGCGCACGUAGGCGGACUCUUAAGUCAGGGGUGAAAUCCUGGAGCUCAACUCCAGAACUGCCUUUGAUACUGGGAGUCUUGGAGUUCGGGAGAGGUGAGUGGAACUGCGAGUGUAGAGGUGAAAUUCGUAGAUAUUCGCAAGAACACCAGUGGCGAAGGCGGCUCACUGGCCCGAUACUGACGCUGAGGUGCGAAAGCGUGGGGAGCAAACAGG
Molecule: ribosomal RNA, 255 nt
Filed under: uncultured bacterium
Lineage: Bacteria
Description: partial 16S ribosomal RNA
Rfam family: Bacterial small subunit ribosomal RNA
Source: RNAcentral